Molecule: ribosomal RNA, 253 nt
Filed under: uncultured bacterium
Lineage: Bacteria
Description: partial 16S ribosomal RNA
Rfam family: Bacterial small subunit ribosomal RNA
Source: RNAcentral
UACGUAGGGUGCAAGCGUUAAUCGGAAUUACUGGGCGUAAAGCGUGCGCAGGCGGCUUUGCAAGACAGAUGUGAAAUCCCCGGGCUCAACCUGGGAACUGCAUUUGUGACUGCAUGGCUAGAGUACGGUAGAGGGGGAUGGAAUUCCGCGUGUAGCAGUGAAAUGCGUAGAUAUGUGGAAGAACACCGGUGGCGAAGGCGGCCAUCUGGACCGGCACUGACGCUGAGGCGCGAAAGCGUGGGGAGCAAACAGG